Molecule: long non-coding RNA, 482 nt
Organism: Nilaparvata lugens (brown planthopper)
Lineage: Eukaryota; Metazoa; Arthropoda; Insecta; Hemiptera; Delphacidae
Exons: 3
Source: RefSeq, a predicted model, not a curated record
ACUUGUUCUCCACUGCAGCACGUUUCUGUUGAAAAAUAUUUGAUAAGUGUCUUAUUUGUUUCAGAUUAUCAUCAGAUCAGAUUUGUCAAAUCAUACUAGAGAACUUGAUCAAUAGAUUCACUACACAAUCUCAAAGCACGUGCGAGCGAGAGCAUGGUACAAGGCGAAAAAAAAAAUUCGAAUUUCUCCCCAACAACACGUGCUCCCAGAUCGUUAUCAGAUUCAUUUUCUCACCUCUCAACUCGAGUUCCGAACCUCAUAACCAGUUGAGCUCUCGUCGAGACAACACAGCUGAGAGGAAUCAUAGGACGCUGACCUGAGAGGAAUCAAUCAUAGCAUAAUCAUCUACACCUGUAUCCUGCUAUCUACACCUGUAUCCUGCUAUCUACACUCGAGGAGAUUCACGCAGGAUCAAGCACUACAUGUAAGUACAUUUUUACUUUGAUUUUAUCCUCUGAGGAGGAAAAUAGUCCUCCGAGGAG